AUUGAACGCUGGCGGCAUGCUUUACACAUGCAAGUCGAACGGCAGCGCGGGCUUCGGCCUGGCGGCGAGUGGCGAACGGGUGAGUAAUACAUCGGAACGUGCCCAGUAGUGGGGGAUAGCUCGGCGAAAGCCGGAUUAAUACCGCAUACGACCUGAGGGUGAAAGCGGGGGAUCUUCGGACCUCGCGCUAUUGGAGCGGCCGAUGGCAGAUUAGCUAGUUGGUGGGGUAAAGGCCUACCAAGGCGACGAUCUGUAGCUAGUCUGAGAGGACGACCAGCCACACUGGGACUGAGACACGGCCCAGACUCCUACGGGAGGCAGCAGUGGGGAAUUUUGGACAAUGGGCGAAAGCCUGAUCCAGCAAUGCCACGUGUGUGAUGAAGGCCUUCGGGUUGUAAAGCACUUUUGGCGGGAACGAAAAGGACUGUGCCAAUACCACGGUUCGAUGACGGUACCCGCAGAAUAAGCACCGGCUAACUACGUG
RNAcentral lists this ribosomal RNA (484 nucleotides) under uncultured bacterium. Its description in RNAcentral is "partial 16S ribosomal RNA". It matches the Rfam family "Bacterial small subunit ribosomal RNA", at positions 29 to 507 of the family's 1533-position model. The record is from RNAcentral.